AACGCACAUUGCGCCCUUUGGUAUUCCGAAGGGCAUGCCUGUCUGAGCUAAAACAACUGGUGGUGUCUGCCAAAUGAAUAAUUUAUUACAAAACUUGACCUCAGAUCAGGUAGGGAUACCCCCUAAACUUAA
RNAcentral lists this unclassified non-coding RNA (132 nucleotides) under uncultured fungus. RNAcentral's name for it is "sequence contains ITS2". Lineage: Eukaryota; Fungi. The record is from RNAcentral.